UUUUUAGGACAAAAAAACAUUAUAAUCCAAAUAAUACCAAGUUGACAUCUGUAAACUUUUUUCCUCUUUUUCUAUACAUAAAAUAAAGGGUUAAUUUGAUACAAUUAAAAAAUAAUGAUAAAAUAUUUAUGACUGAAGAAUUUACUUACACUUGCAGUAGGAGUUGCUUCAGAAUUUGGAUUGCUAGGAUUUGCAUCAGAAGUAGGAGUUGUGCCAUGGAACCUUCUAUUGUGCAUUAUGGCUCCGCAGAUUUGACACCUUAUGGCCACCUUGCCUUUCCUACUUAACCUUCCUUGUAUUGCUGCCCUCUCUAUUUCUUCAACCUCUUUCCUUUUAGCCAUUUGUUUUCGAUUUCUCUUUUUCUGAAUUGGGCUAUUAGGAAUGAUGACAUUGUGUCUAGAGGCUUUUGGCUACAUUUCAUGUCCAUUAAUAGGGUUUAUAACAUGACUAUGUACCUUCAAAUAAGUCCUUAUUGAAUAGCAUUCAUUGACAUAUCUCUCAGGUGCUUCAUUAUUUCCAAAAAAUAUAGCACAUGCAUGUGCACAUGGAAUUCAUUCAAAUCCCAUCUCCUAUAAGUGCAUGUCCUAGUAACCACAUUAACUACAAAUUGACAGUUAGCUCCAAAAACUUGCACUUCAGGACCACCAAAAAACUUGGGAGUGAAAAGAACAGAAAGUUAUUUCAUCUCAUUC
This 692-nucleotide unclassified non-coding RNA is filed under the name Hevea brasiliensis (rubber tree). The record is from RNAcentral. Lineage: Eukaryota; Viridiplantae; Streptophyta; Magnoliopsida; Malpighiales; Euphorbiaceae.